Molecule: ribosomal RNA, 478 nt
Filed under: uncultured bacterium
Lineage: Bacteria
Description: partial 16S ribosomal RNA
Rfam family: Bacterial small subunit ribosomal RNA
Source: RNAcentral
GACGAACGCUGGCGGCGUGCUUAACACAUGCAAGUCGAACGGUAAGGCCCUUCGGGGUACACGAGUGGCGAACGGGUGAGUAACACGUGGGUGAACUGCCCUGCACUUCGGGAUAAGCCUGGGAAACUGGGUCUAAUACCGGAUAGGACCACUGCCUACAUGGGUGGUGGUGGAAAGCUUUUGCGGUGUGGGAUGGGCCCGCGGCCUAUCAGCUUGUUGGUGGGGUGAUGGCCUACCAAGGCGACGACGGGUAGCCGGCCUGCGAGGGUGACCGGCCACACUGGGACUGAGAUACGGCCCAGACUCCUACGGGAGGCAGCAGUGGGGAAUAUUGCACAAUGGGCGCAAGCCUGAUGCAGCGACGCCGCGUGAGGGAUGACGGCCUUCGGGUUGUAAACCUCUUUCAGCACCGACGAAGCGCAAGUGACGGUAGGUGCAGAAGAAGGACCGGCCAACUACGUGCCAGCCGCCGCCGUAA